Molecule: ribosomal RNA, 357 nt
Filed under: Triticum aestivum (bread wheat)
Lineage: Eukaryota; Viridiplantae; Streptophyta; Magnoliopsida; Poales; Poaceae
Description: partial small subunit ribosomal RNA
Source: RNAcentral
AUGGAAAUUAUCAUCCUCAUCUCACUUGUUGUGCUUCUUGUACUGGGAGCACUCUUUGUUAUCCCAAGAUCCAAAAACAAAGGUGAAGGAAAGGAUGCACGUUCAGCCGGAAAUGGAACGACAUCUACGAGCUAUUCAAAGAAAGAGGUGUCAACACACAACACAAGGAAGGAUUGUUGGAUCAUAAUCAAGGACAAGGUUUACGAUGUAACUCCAUACGUGGAGGAACAUCCAGGUGGUGAUGCCAUUCUAAACAAUGCUGGUGGCGAUUCGACAGAGGGAUUUUUCGGCCCGCAGCAUGGCACACGAGUCUUCGACAUCAUCGAGGAUUUCUGCAUCGGCAAAUUGGAAGACUGA